This 66-nucleotide microRNA precursor is filed under the name Gekko japonicus. Its description in RNAcentral is "Gja-Mir-15-P2a_pre stem-loop". It matches the Rfam family "mir-16 microRNA precursor family", at positions 10 to 75 of the family's 82-position model. Rfam says of the family: The hairpin precursors (represented here) are predicted based on base pairing and cross-species conservation -- their extents are not known. In this case the mature sequence is excised from the 5' arm of the hairpin. Lineage: Eukaryota; Metazoa; Chordata; Lepidosauria; Squamata; Gekkonidae. The record is from RNAcentral.
UAGCAGCACAAAAAUAUUGGGAGUUAUUCUUAGUCAAGUGCCUCCAAUAUUGACUGUGCUGCUGAA